RNAcentral lists this transfer RNA (94 nucleotides) under Sandaracinaceae bacterium. Its description in RNAcentral is "tRNA-Sec". It matches the Rfam family "Selenocysteine transfer RNA". Lineage: Bacteria; Pseudomonadati; Myxococcota; Polyangiales; Sandaracinaceae. The record is from RNAcentral.
GGAGGCGCUCGACAGGCUGGUGCCGUCCCCGGUCUUCAAAACCGGUGUGGGGCAGGAUGCUGUCCCGUGCGGGUUCGAUUCCCGUGCGCCUCCG